GAUCCUGGCUCAGGACGAACGCUGGCGGCGCGCCUAACACAUGCAAGUCGAACGGAGAUUACAGGCGGAAGUUUUCGGAUGGAAGCCUGUAAACUUAGUGGUGGACGGGUGAGUAACACGUGAGCAACCUGCCUAUCAGAGGGGGGAUAACGAUUGGAAACGAUCGCUAAUACCGCAUGACAUAGCGGAACCGCAUGGUUCUGUUAUCAAAGAUUUUAUCGCUGAUAGAUGGGCUCGCG
This 239-nucleotide ribosomal RNA is filed under the name uncultured bacterium. RNAcentral's name for it is "partial 16S ribosomal RNA". It matches the Rfam family "Bacterial small subunit ribosomal RNA", at positions 15 to 235 of the family's 1533-position model. The record is from RNAcentral.